Long non-coding RNA from Pezoporus occidentalis (night parrot), 1447 nucleotides. RefSeq lists it as uncharacterized. NCBI's taxonomy places the organism in Eukaryota, Metazoa, Chordata, Aves, Psittaciformes, Psittacidae. The record is from RefSeq and is a predicted model, not a curated record. The transcript is spliced from 3 exons.
UGAGGACACCUGGAGCUUUAAUUGCCCUGAGCCAGCUAACCUGCCCUUUCUCACAAGCCCAUGGUCUUGGGACUUCUAUAUAAGCUCAAGACAAUAGGUCUAACUCUUUUCUGAUGCAUCCUGUGUUCUUUAGAAGUCCUGUUGCAAGAAUCUGAAGCAUCUUUUGGUCCAGCUGUUGAAGCUCUAACUGCUCUGAGAAGAUCAAUUUUCAAAACAGCUUGUGGAAAUACGCAGCUGAAUGCUCACUGCUUGGAAAAUCCCAAAGAAGUUUAAAUCCACAAGCAGCAUCGUGUACACAGGGUUUUCAAAAGUGACCCUCGACGCAAGGCUGUGCCAGCAGCUCCAUCUCAGAUGACACAGCAGCUUGGCUGUGUGUGGCCUCCUACACAAACAGGACAAACAUUGGGAAGAAUCAAGCUCUGGAGAUCAUCUGUGGAAAGGAGAGUUUCUAUUCUUUCAUGGUGGAAAGACAAUUUUAGACUCUCAGUGGGGGGAUAUUACUGCCCCAUAGUUUCAAAGUUGUUUAAAGGACUUAUCUGGUUCUGCUCACACACACUCUUUAGAAAUGUUAAUCUCACCAUUGUUCUUAAUUGUUUCAGGAAAGUGGGAGGUAUUGUCCCCAAAGGAUUUCAAGUUACUAAGAAGCAUUCGCUAAGAAAUGUGAUGAUGUACUUAUUUUUUUUCUGCUGCUGAGAGUGUUAUCAAAAGUGAGGUAAAGAGGGAGGGCUUUACUGUAAAAGUUCUUUAAAUAACGUUGCUAUGCUUCUUGGCUAUCCUCAUUAAAGUAAUUUGAAUAGCAAGCCCACUCAAGUGGUCUGACAGCUCACAUCAUUGUGUAUGUAGCUACAACACAAAUGUGCAGGGGUGGCAGGGGAAGGACUUUGUUUCUUGGAUCUGGCUGUGCCUGAGCUGGGAGCUCUCCAGACAAACACCUUCUUUUCUUUAGGGACAGGAAUUACCUGGGUCAUCCUUGCACAAAUUUCAGUUUCUCUGAGUUUGAAGGCCACUUCAGGAGUCCUUCCUGCUGCUCUGGGAGCUGCCCAGCAAAGCCACCGUGAAAACUUCUGUGAACCAAGUUGCUUUUUUGGUGGUUUGAGUUACAAAACUUUGUUCCCUGUUUGCAUAGCUCAGAUGUGGUUGAGCCAAAUGCGAAGGAACUUUCAGAUGGCAGCAGAAGCUGCUGCUAUUUUUGUCCUUUUGAUUUGUUUAUGCUCAGCUUCUAAAGCAAACCUCCUCUCCAAGAACAAAGACCUCAGCAAACCCCAGUGACUCAAGUCUCUCCAGCAUGUCGCCAAAGGAGUCAGAAGCAGAAUUUAGCUCAGGAGAUUUUAUCUGCCCAGACUCCACAUGUACAAUGACAAACCGUCCUGUUGUGUUUCAGGGAGGAGGCACAGAUUGUUGUGUGUGUCUAUCACAUGUGCAAUGUUGGUUCCACCAUGGAAACUGA